RNAcentral lists this long non-coding RNA (3236 nucleotides) under Solanum tuberosum (potato). Its description in RNAcentral is "long non-coding RNA (STUB_LNC011639)". Lineage: Eukaryota; Viridiplantae; Streptophyta; Magnoliopsida; Solanales; Solanaceae. The record is from RNAcentral.
CUAUGUCUAAGAUACUGAAUGUAACAAAGACACCGAACUAAUCUCAUUUUCCAGUGAUACCAUGGAGGUGCUAACAGUUUUCUUCUCCGGGUUGGUUUCCAUUUAGCAGAUCUAGACCUAAUCUUUGGUUAGGGCUUUUCACAGUCUUUUUUGGGUAUUGUUUUACCAAUUCCUUGGUCAUCUCUUGUGAACAGGUAUCAACAUGAUUUUAUUUCCUUUUUCAUCAAGGUAGUUUUUUCCGAAAUCACUAGAUUUGUAGAAUGAAAAAUCGGAAGACCCUUAGAAUUUAUUUCUCAAUUCGUUUUUUGAACCCUAGAGAAUUGGCACCGUUGAUUUUAUUUGACUGAUAUCAUUUUUUUAAAGGACAUAUUAGGGGUUUGUAAGAAUUGGCACACACUGAUUUCAUUUUUCUGUAGGACUAUAAGAAUCAUUAAUCUUAACUGAUAUGUUGAGUUCCAAUAGUACUUAAGUUUUGCUACUCUUCCCUUGGCUUUCUAAAAGUGGUUGAGUUGAGCUAUUGAACGCUUUAUGGUUAACACUAUAACUGGUUUCAAUGUUUGCAUAGGAAAGAGAAUCCCUCUAUAUCCAUAUAGCUAUGUACUGGUGAAUUCGACAUCUCUAUUAUCAAUGCUAUGAACCGAUCAAAAUGUAAAUACAAAUGCAAUUCAUACGAAUUUCCAGCUUGCAUAUGGUAGUAGAGAUGAUGACUUUAGUGUUAGAUAAACAAGAAUUAGUGUAGCUACUGAUAGGGACGUUUCAUAUAUUGAUUUAUAGGCUAUUCAAAUUACCCAUUACGUUUUUUAUGAAAGGACAAGACUAGUGAAUGAACAAUCGUGGUAUGUGUAUUCACUACUCUAUCAAGUGUUUUGGAUGCCUUAGCAGAACUAACUUUGUUGUUUUCCAGCAAAUGAUGUCAUCAGUGGUAAGAUAAGUUGGUGUUAACUCUGUUCUCUCAUUUUCAGCUAAACGCCAAUUCUUUGUUUGCUAAUUUGUGUUGAAAGAUAACUUAUAUAGAGGAGUUCUAUGGCUGAUUUUGCAAUUGAGGUGCAGUUUAUUGGUCUCGAUUGCCUCUUGUUCUGCUCGAAUUAUCUUAAUUUAUAAAAAUCUUAGCUUUGUCCAUGUUUUGACUGUCUCUAUUUGUUUUUUAUCAUUAUCAAUGUUACUUAGAGUGGAGGCACUCCAGAAACCCGAUAUGGCUUGCUACAAGUUAAAGAUGGCCUCUCGUGAAGCUGGUGUGAUAUUCAUAAAAAAGACUUUGAGCUGAGGUUCUUUUUUAUUUUGCUUUCAAAUUUUUUGCCAUUAUGUGGAGUAGCUUUCUGAUGAGUAUCGUAUUUGCAUUCCAUUACGCCUCAUAUAUCAUAUCACUCCAGGGAGUUGAUAAUAGAGACAUGUGUGCUGGUGUUGCAUUGAUUGACGAAGUACACAAGACAAUUGUGGUAUGACUAUAUGGCCCUUUUUAUUUUCUUUUGGAAUAUAAAAGUUGACUCUUUUGUAUUUGAUGUUUUGAGAAUAAUUAGUAAAUCUUACAAAUACAUACAAUUGAAAUAAAUUUCAUUGUAGAAUUAUGAGAGCCAUAGUUUCUUUUUGUGGCGGACUUCAUGAAUAGAUAAGAUGGGCCAUUAUCCCUUUUCUCUUAUUUACUUCAAGAAUCUGUUUUUUAUUUGUACUAGAACAAACUGAUGAUGGCUAUUGUACCAACUUAUUAUUUGUCAUCACAAUCGAGAUAACCCGGCGACAGUACUUACUUUGUGUUGGUACUGGAAAAUUGAUUGAGUUGGAUCCAAGGUUUGGUUCACCUUUAGACUUGUGGUUGCGAUACUAGAAGAAAAUAUAGUUGGGUAUUUGACUAUGUGGAUACAAUAUUUCUUACCUUGCUGGAUAUGAUUGUCCUCUCAUACAGAGACAGUUUAUUGCUAUUCAAUGCAUAUUUACAAUAGCUUAUCAUGGAGUCUCUUGGGAAAGAGUUUAACCUAGACGGUAACUGGUAUAUUUCCCACAGUUCCUAUAGUUCCCAUGCCUUUAAUUUUCAGAUUAAAACCACACAAAAUAGAUGCAUUUCCACUUACUUAUGUAACCUCAUACGUGCACCAACUCAGUCAACCACAUCUCAUAAAAGGAACCCUGUAAUUUACUUCUAUUCCUUGGAUAUUUUGUGUUCACUAUCAAUGAAACCUAUUUGUUUAGUGAAACAUUAUGUUAUUUUGCCUAGUACCUGUACUCACUCUUUUUGCAGCAAAUUAUUUAGGUGUUUUACAAAAUUUUCCUCACCUUCAAAUCCUGUGAGAAUAAAAGAGGAGUAUAUCUUUUCAGUCAGUUUUCUACAUCGAGCAUAUUUAUUGGCAUGCUCCAAUUGCUACAUGAGUAUCCCAACUGCAGGUCUCUCAUUCUUAACAUAACAUUUUUUGUCAUAAGUUUAGUCUUCAUGAUAUUGUUAAUGGUUCAAUAAUAUACUUGGGAAGAUUUGAGCCAAAUUGUUGCUGUGGUUUUUAGCCAACUACUGCUGUUUUUUUUUUACCUAAAAUGUUACUUUAAAGACUGUUUUAACCAGCUUCAAUGGUUCGACAUAUUGUUGCAGAGGUUGUUACCCUGUUCUUCUUGGGAUUUCUCAUGGCCUCCAAGUAUAUCAAUAUUUCUAUGCCAAACAUCUUAUUAUCUUUAUCAUCAUCAAUUUGAUGCCAAACAUCUUAGUAUCUUUAUCAUCAUCAAUUUGCCAUAUUCUUAUUUCAAUUGUUCCGUUAUACAAAUUAAAAUUGGUAAGUAUUUCAUCUAUAAUUAGUUUUGUAGUUAGAAAUUACUUAUAUUGUGAAGUCUUUACUGAUUGUUAUAAAAUGCAUCUUAUAGUAUCUUAAACUUCUCUAAGUACUGGUAUGAAUUGACUUCUAUUUAGAGAAAAUAUUCCUUAACUUGAUAGGUGAAAUAUACAUGAAAUUAUUCAGUUAGUUCGUCAAUGUUUCUUUAUUACAAUAACUGUGGCUGCUACGUUUUGCUUGAUUAAAACAUGCCAAUAUUGUUAUUGUGUUUAGCAUGACUAAUAAUUUACUUUUCACUUUUCAUUUUACAUGAAAGUGCAUUUCAACUUUUAACUAUAUAUUCUAUGUAAUGUCUUUGGAGAUUCUUAAGCUUAUGAUUUUUUUCGAUUUUUAUGCACAGAUCAGGCUACUAGUUUGUAUUUUUGAUAAUCAUUUUUCUGAAUCAUUUAUUAUCACCUUUUGUAGGUGAAGCAAAGCAAUAUGAGG